GACGAACGCUGGCGGCGUGCCUAACACAUGCAAGUCGAACGAAGCUUGACGAAUGAUUUCUUCGGAAUGAAAUCUGAUAUGACUGAGUGGCGGACGGGUGAGUAACGCGUGAGCAACCUGCCCUUCGGAACGGGAUAGUGUCUGGAAACGGACAGUAAUACCGUAUAACGUAUUUUUACCGCAUGAUAGAAAUACCAAAACUGAGGUGCCGAAGGAUGGGCUCGCGUCUGAUUAGAUAGUUGGUGGGGUAACGGCCUACCAAGUCGACGAUCAGUAGCCGGACUGAGAGGUUGAACGGCCACAUUGGGACUGAGACACGGCCCAGACUCCUACGGGAGGCAGUAGUGGGGAAUAUUGCACAAUGGGGGAAACCCUGAUGCAGCAACGCCGCGUGAAGGAAGACGGUUUUCGGAUUGUAAACUUCUGUUCUUAGUGAAGAAUAAUGACG
This 448-nucleotide ribosomal RNA is filed under the name uncultured bacterium. RNAcentral describes it as "bacterial SSU rRNA". It matches the Rfam family "Bacterial small subunit ribosomal RNA", at positions 28 to 457 of the family's 1533-position model. The record is from RNAcentral.